Molecule: ribosomal RNA, 734 nt
Filed under: uncultured bacterium
Lineage: Bacteria
Description: bacterial SSU rRNA
Rfam family: Bacterial small subunit ribosomal RNA
Source: RNAcentral
UGCAGUCGAGGGGCAGCGAGGGCGUAGCAAUACGCCUGUCGGCGACCGGCGCACUGGUGAGUAACACGUAUGCGACCUGCCCCCUACAGGGGUAUAACCCGUAGAAAUGCGGACUAAUCCCCCAUAGUCCUGGGUGCUGCAUGGCAUUCAGGGGAAAGGUCAGCCGGUAGGGGAUGGGCAUGCGGCGCAUUAGCUAGUUGGCGGGGCAACGGCCCACCAAGGCGACGAUGCGUAGGGGUUCUGAGAGGAAGGUCCCCCACACUGGUACUGAGACACGGACCAGACUCCUACGGGAGGCAGCAGUGAGGAAUAUUGGUCAAUGGGCGCAGGCCUGAACCAGCCAAGUCGCGUGAGGGAAGACGGUCCUACGGAUUGUAAACCUCUUUUGUCGGGGAGUAACGUGCGGGACGGGUCCCGUAUUGAGAGUACCCGAAGAAAAAGCAUCGGCUAACUCCGUGCCAGCAGCCGCGGUAAUACGGAGGAUGCGAGCGUUAUCCGGAUUUAUUGGGUUUAAAGGGUGCGCAGGCGGCGCGCCAAGUCAGCGGUCAAAGUUCCGGGCUCAACCCGGUGUCGCCGUUGAAACUGGCGUGCUCGAGUGCGUGCGAGGAAGGCGGAAUGCGUUGUGUAGCGGUGAAAUGCAUAGAUAUGACGCAGAACUCCGAUUGCGAAGGCAGCUUUCCAGCGCGCUACUGACGCUGAGGCACGAAAGCGUGGGGAUCGAACAGGAUUAGAUA